GACGAACGCUGGCGGCGUGCCUAAUACAUGCAAGUAGAACGCUGAAGGAGGAGCUUGCUUCUCUGGAUGAGUUGCGAACGGGUGAGUAACGCGUAGGUAACCUGCCUGGUAGCGGGGGAUAACUAUUGGAAACGAUAGCUAAUACCGCAUAAGAGUAGAUGUUGCAUGACAUUUGCUUAAAAGGUGCAAUUGCAUCACUACCAGAUGGACCUGCGUUGUAUUAGCUAGUUGGUGGGGUAACGGCUCACCAAGGCGACGAUACAUAGCCGACCUGAGAGGGUGAUCGGCCACACUGGGACUGAGACACGGCCCAGACUCCUACGGGAGGCAGCAGUAGGGAAUCCUCGGCAAUGGACGGAAGUCUGACCGAGCAACGCCGCGUGAGUGAAGAAGGUUUUCGGAUCGUAAAGCUCUGUUGUAAGAGAAGAACGAGUGUGAGAGUGGAAAGUUCACACUGUGACGGUAUCUUACCAGAAAGGGACGGCUAACUACGUG
This 495-nucleotide ribosomal RNA is filed under the name uncultured bacterium. RNAcentral's name for it is "partial 16S ribosomal RNA". It matches the Rfam family "Bacterial small subunit ribosomal RNA", at positions 28 to 507 of the family's 1533-position model. The record is from RNAcentral.